ACAUGCCUACAACAUAGUGUUAAUUCACCGUAUCCCAUUAGAACUCUGUAGUUAAGCACACUCAGGCUAGAAUAGUACUAGGAUGGGUGACCUCCAGGGAAGUCUUAGUGUUUUACAUGCC
Molecule: non-coding RNA, 121 nt
Organism: Picea glauca (white spruce)
Lineage: Eukaryota; Viridiplantae; Streptophyta; Pinopsida; Pinales; Pinaceae
Source: Rfam